AUAUGAUAAAACAACAAGCAAAAUUAGAUAUACAGCAGGUUGAGGAAAUAAAAAAUGAUAAAAUAAUUGCCUUAGAAAAAGAAUUAAAUAUGCUUAAAGAGUUAUACGCGAUUAAACAAAAAGAGAAAGAAAUGGAAGCAGAAUUAAAAAUAGAAAUAGAAAAAUUUAAGGAAAAAUUAACUAUAGAAAAAGAAACCCC
Molecule: long non-coding RNA, 199 nt
Filed under: Solanum tuberosum (potato)
Lineage: Eukaryota; Viridiplantae; Streptophyta; Magnoliopsida; Solanales; Solanaceae
Description: long non-coding RNA (STUB_LNC010743)
Source: RNAcentral